Saccostrea echinata is the source of this 389-nucleotide long non-coding RNA. RefSeq lists it as uncharacterized. The record is from RefSeq and is a predicted model, not a curated record. The transcript has 4 exons. Lineage: Eukaryota; Metazoa; Mollusca; Bivalvia; Ostreida; Ostreidae.
GAGAAAUAGGUAGAUCGUGCAUGGAUGGAACAUCACAAACCUACAUAGCAACAACAGAAAUUGGAGCCCCAACUGGUCUUGCAAUCGAUUUUACAUCCAAUAGACUUUACUGGACUGAUGGACCUAAAGAUCGUAUUGAGUACUCUGACUUAAAUGGAGGAAACAGACAUGUUUUGACAACAGAUAAAGACGCAUUUCCCAUUGGAAUUGUUGUUCAUGAACAAUAUCUCUAAUACACAGCGUCGAAUAGACAAGGCGUACGAAAGAUAAACAAGGCAACGGGUUCAAAAGUAACAUUCAUGUCAAGUCAUCCAGAGCUAGGUAGACUGGAUAGUCUGGAUGUGUAUACAGAUGAUUCUGUUGAUAUGAGUUUGAGUUGUUCUACAAAU